UAAUUGACUAAAAACUUAUUAUCAAUUUGGCGUCUUUGCCAACACAGCUUGGGGGAGUUGAUAAGUGUGCAUUUUACAUGUUUUAAGCAUCCAUUUAUUACCACUAUUGCCUCAUAUCACCACUGUUUUAUACCAUUUCUCAUCAUUUCUCAUCAUUUUGCAUGUUUAGGAUAGUUUUGCAUGCAUGUUGCAUAUUUGUGUUGUUUUCAGGUGAUUUGGAGUUGUUGACGAGCUAAUUGGAAGAAGCGGACCUGAUCAUGUCAAACCACUCGACCCCUUGGCCGAGUAGAUGCUUCACGACCUCAAGAGACCACUCGACCCCCUAGUCGAGUACCACCAUGAGAGUCACUCGAUCACAUCACUCGACCACCUGGUCGAGUAUCAUCACCUCCACCACCUGACCAUCACUCGAUCACACCACUCGACCAAAAGGUCGAGUAUCUUCAUCACCGUCACUCGAUCACUCUACCACCAAGCCGAGUACCACCAUCUCCAUCACCCGACUUCAUACUCGAUUGCCAGCUUCAGAGUCUUCUCCAUUCCACACUCAACCAGACACUUGAGCACAAGGAAGAAAAGAAGACUCCAGCUUAUCACUCGACCAUUCACUCGACCGCCUUGGUCAAGUACCGUUUUUAAUCCGUCCCAAUACUGCAUCGUUUUGAGUAUAAGGGUUUCAGAAUAUUUCGCUAUAAGUAGCAUGUACUUUACAG
Molecule: small RNA, 713 nt
Filed under: Arabidopsis thaliana (thale cress)
Lineage: Eukaryota; Viridiplantae; Streptophyta; Magnoliopsida; Brassicales; Brassicaceae
Description: ATSL086470
Source: RNAcentral